Molecule: long non-coding RNA, 336 nt
Organism: Oncorhynchus gorbuscha (pink salmon)
Lineage: Eukaryota; Metazoa; Chordata; Actinopteri; Salmoniformes; Salmonidae
Exons: 3
Source: RefSeq, a predicted model, not a curated record
GGCCAUUCUGUUCAUUGAAAACACCAGGGCCAGGACCAUGGAUUUGAAUGCCAUAGUCAACGACUUCGCAGAGCGCAAGGCCCGUCAAAUGCCAAUCAAAUGAGUGAACCCAGGUCUCCUACUUGUCAAAACACUGCCUUGGGAUACUCAGCCAUUCUUCAGGACUAAACUGUUUUACACAAUCCAAGAAAGUAUGUCAAUUAAAACAAAAACAUACAUACAAUGUUACCCACAGGCUGGCCAGUCCUAAACACAACCAAUCAAGACCUGGAUCACAGACUACUGCCAACUGUCAAUCAUAUUGUCUAUCUCAACUGUAUUGUGAUUCAAUUCAUC